AAAGCGAUUCAGCGGGUUACGAUUGACGGAGCGAAGCGACGUCAAAGCGUAUACAAAGUCGAGUCGGUUUAAGGAUACGUUCGUUGGGUAGGGGAGCGUUCUGUAAGCCUGUGAAGGUGGCCUGUGAGGGUUGCUGGAGGUAUCAGAAGUGCGAAUGCUGACAUAAGUAACGAUAAAGCGGGUGAAAAGCCCGCUCGCCGGAAGACCAAGGGUUCCUGUCCAACGUUAAUCGGGGCAGGGUGAGUCGACCCCUAAGGCGAGGCCGAAAGGCGUAGUCGAUGGGAAACGGGUUAAUAUUCCCGUACUUGGUGUUACUGCGAAGGGGGGACGGAGAAGGCUAUGUUGGCCGGGCGACGGUUGUCCCGGUUUAAGCGUGUAGGUGUGUGUUCCAGGUAAAUCCGGUUCACUUUAACACUGAGGCGUGAUGACGAGGCACUACGGUGCUGAAGUAACAAAUGCCCUGCUUCCAGGAAAAGCCUCUAAGCAUCAGGUAACAUCAAAUCGUACCCCAAACCGACACAGGUGGUCAGGUAGAGAAUACCAAGGCGCUUGAGAGAACUCGGGUGAAGGAACUAGGCAAAAUGGUGCCGUAACUUCGGGAGAAGGCACGCUGACAC
This 617-nucleotide ribosomal RNA is filed under the name Salmonella enterica. Its description in RNAcentral is "partial 23S ribosomal RNA". It matches the Rfam family "Bacterial large subunit ribosomal RNA", at positions 1164 to 1757 of the family's 2925-position model. The record is from RNAcentral. Lineage: Bacteria; Pseudomonadati; Pseudomonadota; Gammaproteobacteria; Enterobacterales; Enterobacteriaceae. RNAcentral also lists the same sequence under 1 other name.